CCUACGGGAGGCAGCAGUGAGGAAUAUUGGUCAAUGGUCGGGAGACUGAACCAGCCAAGCCGCGUGAGGGAGGAAGGUACAGAGUAUCGUAAACCUCUUUUGUCAGGGAACAAAGACUGGGACGCGUCCCCGGAUGAGUGUAACUGCAGAAAAAGCAUCGGCUCACGCCGUGCCAGCAGCCGCGGUAAUACGGGGGAUGCGAGCGGUCUCCGGGUUUCUUGGGUUUAAGGGGUGCGCAGGCGGUCUGUUAAGUCAGGGGUCAAAGCCCGGGGCUCAACCCCGGCCCGCCGUUGAAACUGGCAGUCUCGAGUUGGAGAGAAGUAUGCGGAAUGCGCGGUGUAGCGGUGAAAUGCAUAGAUAUCGCGCAGAACUCCGAUUGCGAAGGCAGCAUGCCGGCUCCACACUGACGCUGAGGCACGAAAGCGUGGGUAUCGAACAGGAUUAGAUACCCCAGUAGUC
This 459-nucleotide ribosomal RNA is filed under the name uncultured bacterium. RNAcentral's name for it is "partial 16S ribosomal RNA". It matches the Rfam family "Bacterial small subunit ribosomal RNA", at positions 338 to 795 of the family's 1533-position model. The record is from RNAcentral.